CCUACGGGAGGCAGCAGUGAGGGAUAUUGGACAAUGGCGGGAAGGCUGAAGCAGCCAUGCCGCGUGGGUGUCAGAGCGCUAUGGGCGGUAAACUUCUAUUGUGCGGGAGCAAUAAUGGUCACGUGUGGCUAGAAGAGAGUAGCGUACGAAUAAGCAUCGGCUGAAUCAAUGCGAGCAGGCGCGGUAAUACGGGGGGUGCCAGCGUUAUAAGGAUUUGUGGGGGUUAAAGGGUGCGUAGGCUGGGAGGUAAGUCAGCGGGUAAAGGCCCGCGCUCGACGGGGGGGAGUGCUAUUGAUACUGGCCUGCUGGAAUGCGGAGGCGGUGGGAGGAAUGUGUGGUGUAGCGGUGAAAUGCAUAGAUAUCACACAGAACACCGAUUGCGAAGGCAUCUCACGAAUCCGCGAUUGACGCUGAUGCACGAAAGCGUGGGUAUCAAACAGGAUUAGAUACCCGUGUAGUC
This 460-nucleotide ribosomal RNA is filed under the name uncultured bacterium. Its description in RNAcentral is "partial 16S ribosomal RNA". It matches the Rfam family "Bacterial small subunit ribosomal RNA", at positions 338 to 795 of the family's 1533-position model. The record is from RNAcentral.